UACGUAGGGGGCAAGCGUUGUCCGGAAUUAUUGGGCGUAAAGCGCGCGCAGGCGGCUAUGUAAGUCUGGUGUAUAACCUCGGGGCUCAACCCCGGGUCGCACUGGAAACUGUGUAGCUUGAGUACAGAAGAGGAGAGUGGAAUUCCACGUGUAGCGGUGAAAUGCGUAGAUAUGUGGAGGAACACCAGUGGCGAAGGCAACUCUCUGGGCUGUAACUGACGCUGAGGCGCGAAAGCGUGGGGAGCAAACAGG
RNAcentral lists this ribosomal RNA (252 nucleotides) under uncultured bacterium. RNAcentral's name for it is "partial 16S ribosomal RNA". It matches the Rfam family "Bacterial small subunit ribosomal RNA", at positions 524 to 776 of the family's 1533-position model. The record is from RNAcentral.